Molecule: ribosomal RNA, 253 nt
Filed under: uncultured bacterium
Lineage: Bacteria
Description: partial 16S ribosomal RNA
Rfam family: Bacterial small subunit ribosomal RNA
Source: RNAcentral
UACGUAGGGUGCAAGCGUUAAUCGGAAUUACUGGGCGUAAAGCGUGCGCAGGCGGUUUUGUAAGACAGGCGUGAAAAACCCGGGCACAACCUGGGAAUGGCGCUUGUAAUUGCAAAGCUGGAGUGCGGCAGGGGGGGAUGGAAUUCCGCGUGUAGCAGUGAAAUGCGUAGAUAUGCGGAGGAACCCCGAUGGCGAAGGCAAUCCCCUGGGCCUGCACUGACGCUCAUGCACGAAAGCGUGGGGAGCAAACAGG